CAGUCGCCGCGGGAAUACGAAGGGGGCUAGCGUUGUUCGGAAUUACUGGGCGUAAAGCGCACGUAGGCGGAUAUUUAAGUCAGGGGUGAAAUCCCGCAGCUCAACUGCGGAACUGCCUUUGAUACUGGGUAUCUUGAGUAUGGAAGAGGUUAGUGGAAUUGCGAGUGUAGAGGUGAAAUUCGUAGAUAUUCGGAAGAACACCAGUGGCGAAGGCGGCUCACUGGACUGGUAUUGACGCUGAGGUGCGAAAGCGUGGGGAGCAAACAGGAUUAGAUACCCCAGUAGUCCCUGUCUCUUAUAC
Molecule: ribosomal RNA, 301 nt
Filed under: uncultured bacterium
Lineage: Bacteria
Description: partial 16S ribosomal RNA
Rfam family: Bacterial small subunit ribosomal RNA
Source: RNAcentral